UACGAGGGGUGCGAGCGUUAUUCGGAUUUAUUGGGCGUAAAGGGCGCGUAGGCGGCCAGCGCAAGUCAGUUGUGAAAUCUCCGGGCUUAACUCGGAAAGGUCAACUGAUACUGCGCGGCUAGAGUGCGGAAGGGGCAACUGGAAUUCUCGGUGUAGCGGUGAAAUGCGUAGAUAUCGAGAGGAACACCUGCGGCGAAGGCGGGUUGCUGGGCCGACACUGACGCUGAGGCGCGAAAGCGUGGGGAGCGAACAGG
Molecule: ribosomal RNA, 254 nt
Filed under: uncultured bacterium
Lineage: Bacteria
Description: partial 16S ribosomal RNA
Rfam family: Bacterial small subunit ribosomal RNA
Source: RNAcentral